GAUGAACGCUGGCGGCGUGCCUAACACAUGCAAGUCGAACGGAAAGACGAUGAGCUUGUGCCUUUGACGAUAGCGGAGGACGGGAGAGUAACGCGUGGAUCAUCUACUUAUAUUUCUGGGAUAAUUACGGAAAACCGGAGAUAAUACCGGAGAAUAUACUGAACCGCAGGGGUCAAUGGAGAAUGACGGCUUUGGUGUCUGUAAUAGAUGGUUACGAGCUGGAUUGGCUAGUUGGUAGGGUAACGGCCUACCAGGGCGACGAUGCGUAGCCGAGCUGAGAGGGUGAUCGGCCACACUGGAACUGAGACACGGUCCAGACUCCUACGGGAGGCAGCAGUAGGGAAUGUUGGGCAAUGGGCGGAAGCCUGACACAGCGACGCCGCGUGAGUGAUGAAGGCCUUCGGUUCGUAAAGCCCUGUUGUUGGGGAAGAACAGCUGUGGAAGUAGCCGAAGCCGUCUUGACGGUACCUAAUCAAGAAGCACCGGCUAACUACGUG
This 497-nucleotide ribosomal RNA is filed under the name uncultured bacterium. RNAcentral's name for it is "partial 16S ribosomal RNA". It matches the Rfam family "Bacterial small subunit ribosomal RNA", at positions 28 to 507 of the family's 1533-position model. The record is from RNAcentral.